RNAcentral lists this ribosomal RNA (373 nucleotides) under uncultured organism. RNAcentral describes it as "partial 16S ribosomal RNA". It matches the Rfam family "Bacterial small subunit ribosomal RNA", at positions 527 to 896 of the family's 1533-position model. The record is from RNAcentral.
GUAGGUGGCAAGCGUUGUCCGGAAUUAUUGGGCGUAAAGCGCGCGCAGGUGGUUCUUUAAGUCUGAUGUGAAAGCCCCCGGGCUCAACCGGGGAGGGUCAUUGGAAACUGGGGAACUUGAGUGCAGGAGAGGAAAGUGGAAUUCCACGUGUAGCGGUGAAAUGCGUAGAUAUGUGGAGGAACACCAGUGGCGAAGGCGACUUUCUGGCCUGUAACUGACACUGAGGCGCGAAAGCGUGGGGAGCAAACAGGAUUAGAUACCCUGGUAGUCCACGCCGUAAACGAUGAGUGCUAAGUGUUGGGGGGUUUCCGCCCCUCAGUGCUGCAGCUAACGCAUUAAGCACUACGCCUGGGGAGUACGGUCGCAAAGACUG